GGGGGAGUAUCUAUGACUCUCUUAA
RNAcentral lists this unclassified non-coding RNA (25 nucleotides) under Dictyostelium discoideum. Lineage: Eukaryota; Evosea; Eumycetozoa; Dictyosteliales; Dictyosteliaceae. The record is from RNAcentral.